RNAcentral lists this unclassified non-coding RNA (25126 nucleotides) under Diabrotica virgifera virgifera (western corn rootworm). RNAcentral describes it as "microtubule-actin cross-linking factor 1". The record is from RNAcentral. Lineage: Eukaryota; Metazoa; Arthropoda; Insecta; Coleoptera; Chrysomelidae.
AUUGUCAGUUGUCCACCGAUUCUCGAAACAGUUGAAUGGCUGCGCGCUCUGCGUGUAAAUAGUACCUCUACGAGUUCGAACACCGCCACCUCUGAUCAGUGUCCAAAAAACGAUUUUGUUUUGUUUUUUCGAAAAAACGAUUUUACUAAAUGAUUUUGAAUUUAGUGCAGUGUAGUCACCAAACGAACAACGAAUUAAAAACGAAACGCAACUUAUACAUUCCUGAAUUUAAGCUCAACUGCAACUAACAAAACAAAACACUUAAAAAAAAUAGAAAAUAUUUAGUGCGCGUGUAGCCGUGUAAUGUGUUAAAAAAUUGUGACCAAGAGAUGUCGACACAGAACUACUACAAGGAAAAACUAGGCUUCGAUCCUAAAGAAGGUUCUUACUACGAUGCUCCUCCAGAAAAGUACCGAAAGACAGACGAGAAGCCCCAUGGAUACGAGGAGAACUUGACCAAGUUCAAAGGUACUAUUUGGGAUCUUUUUAUUGAGUCCUUGGAAGACGAAAGAGACGCCGUUCAGAAGAAAACUUUUACAAAAUGGGUCAACAAACAUCUAAAGAAGACUUAUACAUGUCUUCAUGUGUGUGUUCUCGUAAACAACAUCCCUUGUUGUCCCCCUACAGCACGUCGUCAAAUUCGAGAUCUAUUCGAAGAUUUACGAGAUGGACACAACCUGAUUUCCCUCUUGGAAGUUCUAACUGGCGAACAACUUCCAAGAGAGAAAGGCGUGAUGCGAUUCCACAUGUUACAUAAUAUUGAUACGGCGCUGCAUUUUCUGCGAUGUAAGAAUGUCAAGCUGGUCAACAUCCGGUCAGAAGAUAUCGUUGACGGAAAUCCCAAGCUAACUUUGGGUCUGAUUUGGACCAUCAUCUUGCACUUCCAGAUUUCGGAUAUAGUCGUUGGUCAAGAACCCAACGUUUCAGCCAAGGACUACCUCCUCAGAUGGGCAAAACGAACCACCCACCGCUACCCUGGUGUCCAGGUCACAGAUUUCACGAAGUCAUGGCGAGACGGUUUGGCCUUCUCGUCGAUCAUACACAGGAACAGGCCGGAUUUGAUCGAUUUCGGAAAGGCCAGGCAGCAAAGGCCAAGAGAAAGAAUGGAGACUGCGUUCUUCAUUGCCGAAAGAGAAUAUGGAGUCACAAGAUUGUUGGAUCCCGAAGAUGUUGAUACUCCAAACCCUGACGAAAAAUCCCUUAUUACCUACAUCUCCUCCUUGCACGAAGUCUUCCCAGAGCCUCCACCAAUCCACCCGCUGUACGACUCGGCAGCUCAGCAGAGAGUUCAGGAAUACAGAGAAAUCGCUUCUUCUCUCCAUAUGUGGAUCAGAGAAAAGUAUUCAUUGAUGCAAGACCAUUCCUUCCCUCCAACUUUGAUAGAAAUGAAGAAAUUAGCUGCAGAAUCGUCGAAGUUUAGAACAGACGAAGUACCACCACGACAAAGAGAUAAGAACUACUGCGCGCAGUUGUUUAAAGAAUUGGAAAAAUACUUCAGGAGCGUUGGAGAGGUUGAAGUUGAACCUGAGCUGCACAUUGAUAAUAUCGAGAGGAGUUGGCAGCGUUUGAUGGAAGCCUACCAAAUUCGAGAUAGAAGAAUCGCGGAGGAGAUCAAGAGGUUAGAAAAGUUACAGAGGUUGGCCGAAAAGGUUCACAGAGAAAUUAAGCAAACUGAUUCGAAUCUAGACACAAUCGAACGAGCAAUCGAAAACGAAUCGAGAAGAAUUGAACGAAUCCAUCCCUUGGAAGCUAAAAAAAUUGCAGAUCAAAUAGACCAAGAUUUAACUACAAUUGAACAGAACAUACAAUCACUUAGGACCGACGUCAACACAUUGAGGAACGGAAGGUAUCCUCAAGCUAGUGAUUUAGACAAACGAGUGAAUAAAUUACACGAGAGAUGGGUAAAUAUGAGACAUUUGCUACACAAUAAAAUCGUCGGUCCUCUCGCAAAUUUGAGUUUCCCGGUUGAAGAAAGAACCGUAACCAAACAUAUUCGUACUGUACAGGAAACCCGAAACGUAGACACCAAUCCACAUUUUAGAACUCUACAGGAACAUAUCGAAUGGUGCAAAAAUAAAAUGAAACAACUCAAGAAGGCAGACUAUGGAACUGAUUUGGCCUCAGUUUCUACGGAACGAGACAUUCAUCAAAGGGAACACAAGACGAUCGACCAAUUCCAUUCCAAGGUCGAAGCUUGUGUAACAGCCCGUCAAUAUUUCCAAGGCGAGGAACUUAUUUUGUAUAAUCAACUCUUAGGCCAGCUGCAAAAGAUCUAUGCCGAGCUAUUGUCAUUUAGUACAAGCAGAAUGACAGAUUUGGAAACGUUACUCGACUUUAUCCAAAGUGCUACAAACGAGCUGAGUUGGUUAAACGAAAAAGAAGAAAUCGAAGUUACCAGAGACUGGAGUGAUACUAAAUUAGAUGUUAGAGGUGUAGAAAAAUAUUUUGAGAAUCUGAUGAGCGACUUAGAAAAACGAGAAAUCCAAUUCAAUUCCGUCCUAGAAAGAGGUGAAUCUUUAGUUCUUCAAAAUCACCCAGCUACGAAAGCUAUCGAAGCUCACAUGGCUGCCAUGAACGCCCAAUGGGCUUGGCUUUUACAGCUUACGCAUUGUUUGGAAACGCAUCUCCUAAACACCAGGAAUUAUCAAGCGUUCUUCAAGGAUGUCCAAGCUACCGAAGAGUGGCUUAAAGAAAAAGACGAAAUCAUGAAUACCGAAUUUAGCCAAGGGGACUUUAGUCUCGACGUUGGCGAAAAACUUCUACAGGGUAUGCAAAACCUCAGGGACGAACUCAACAAUUUCGGUGAUCAGGUGCAAGCCUUGACUGCCCGUGCCCAAGAUAUAGUGCCUUUAAAACAACGUAGACAGCCCGUCACCAGACCUAUGACAGUAACUGCCAUCUGCAACUACAAACAGAACAAUUUUGUAAUUGAAAAGAAUAAGGAAUGCACACUGACGGAUAACUCUGGACGUACCAAAUGGCGCGUGCACAAUUCUAAAGGAAUCGAGUGUCAAGUUCCUGGAGUUUGUUUCGUUCUUCCUCCACCAGAUAAAGACGCUUUGGAUGCUGCUGAUCGUCUGCGACGACAGUAUGAUCGAUCUUUGGCUUUAUGGCAAAAGAAGCAACUCAGGAUGAGACAAAAUAUGAUCUUCGCUACCAUCAAAGUCGUGAAAGGCUGGGAUUUACCACAAUUCAUCGCCAUUGGCGCCGAACAAAGAAACGCCAUCAGAAAGGCUCUUAACGAAGACGCAGAUAAACUUAUGGCCGAAGGAGAUCCAUCUGAUCCUCAGUUAAGAAGGUUGAGAAGAGAAAUGGAUGAAGUUAACAGGUUGUUUGAUGAGUUCGAAAAGCGUGCUAGAGCAGAAGAGGAAAGCAAAAACCAAGCAAGAAUAUUCAACACUCAAAUUUCCAACCUUCAACUGGCCUUAGACGAAGCAGAACGCAUUAUAAACCAACGAGUACUAUCCCCACUUCCAAGAGACAUCGACACUCUUCAGCACUUAGUUCUAGAACACAAAGAAUUCGAGUCGAGACUCCAAAACCUGGAACCAGAAGUAGAACAAGUCAAAGAUACCUUCAGAUCCAUUACACUGAAGACCCCACAACACAAGAAAGAUUUAGAAAAAGUUUUGGACAAAUGGAAGUACAUUUGGAACACUAGCAACAUUUACAUUGAAAGGUUGAAAUGCAUAGAGAUAGUUCUAAAUGGAAUGGACGAUGCUACCCAGGUUAUUUCCGAAUUUGAGAAGAAGUUGGCAUUGUUCGACGAACUUCCCAACACCAAAAAGGGAUUGGAGGAUGUUCAUGAUGAUUUAUUAAAACUAGAAUCUGCUGUCGGUCAGCAACAGAUCGCCAUGGACCAACUCAACGACGAUUUCGACAACACCAGACGAUUAACUGAAAAGUCCAGACCAAACCAACGCGGUCCUCAUGCCGACGUCGAGCGUCUGGAUAAGGAGAUCCAGAAAUUGAACAACCGCUGGAGUAACGUCUGCGCGCAGCUCGCUGAUAGGCUCAGAGGUUGCAAGCAAGCUUAUGAUUUGUUGAAGAAUUACGGCGAAGCCAAAGUGGUCGAGGAUGAUUGGCUGAACGAGCAGUACGGAAAAUUAGAAACUUUGCAGCCUAUCAAAGAUCGAGCUAAGGAACAUUUAGAUGCCACCAGAAAUCUUCUCAACAGUGUGGUCGAGAGAGCACCCAAGAUCGAGCAGGUCAACGUAAAUGGAGGACGCUUCAUACGAGAGGGCAAGAUAUGGAGCAAAGGGGCGCAGAAGUUCCGCGAGGCUCUGCUCGAGUACCAGCCUUCUCUCGACGCCAACGCUGCGGUCUGGAACACCAGGCAACCUUCCGGAGCCGAUCUGGUGGCCAAAGAGCUGGACGAGUUCAACGAGAGGUACCAGUACUUGGUGGACUUCUUGUACGACCGGCUGAGGCAGAUCGCUGACAAGUGCAAAGGGGAUAUAGUUACACUGAGACUGGUGGAGCAAAUGCAACCACAACCUUUUAGAACGUUUAGGACUGAAUUCCAUAUGAGCAGUGCCAGUGAACACACAUCUACCUAUACCACAACUACUCACUACAGUAAACAGUACAUUCAAACAUCAAAAACAGAAAAUGGAAACGGAACAUCACCAAAAUCCCCAGAAGAUCAAAGAACCAUCAGACGAAUAGAUGAAUCCGACAAUAUUACAAACGGUAGACCCCCCGAUAAACACACUACCUUUACGCACAUUAUCCAAGAACCCGAACCUUGGAUAACCACCAUGCAUUUCAACGAGAUAAAAUCGUUGAAACGAAUACACAGGGUGCAUGAGGGUAUCAGUACUGAUGACAUAAACGAUAUAGAAGGUAUUUUGAAUCCUUACACUGGAGAGCGAUUGACUAUCAAAGAAGCCAUAGCAGAACGAAUAUUAGAUGUUAGAACCGGCAAAGUAGUGAUCUCCACCGAUGGUACCCAGGUGUCCAUUAACGAAGCACAAAAUUUAGGCAAAGUAGAUUCGACAAUAGCCGAAAGACUGCAGGGACCGUGUGGUAUAACUGAGAACGGCAGAGAUUUGACGCUUUUGGAAGCCAUACAACGUGAAAUCUAUGAAGCAGAGCACGGAUUCCUAGACCCGUCAGAAAAACGUAUAAAGGUAACGCAUUCCACAACAAUAAACCAAGCUAUAGACGACGGUAAAGUUGACGUCAAUUUAGGUACAUAUACUCUCGAAAGUGGGGAAAGAAUAGAUAUCAAAGAAGCUUAUAAUAGAGGUUACCUUCUAGAACACACGGAAGUCAAGUUACAAACCGGUGCAGUUACUUUAUCAGACGCGAUUACACAGGAACUAGUAGAUGAAAGAACUGGUUGGGUUGUGGAUAGGAACUCGGGGAAUAAAUAUCAAAUUGAUGCCGCUGUUAAAUGUAACGUAGUAGAAAGUGACGUAAGGGAAAUCGUAGAUCCUAAAACAGACAACAAAAUUACCAUUUUACAAGCUUUAGAUAAUAACUUGAUAAAUCCUAAAUUGGGAAAAUACAUUCUAGGUCACGAAAAAAUUUCUUUCCUUGAAGCCAAAAGGCGACAACUAAUAGUAAAGCCAAAAUCUUUAAAAGAAAUUAUAGAUGAUAAUCUCAUGGACGCAGACGGUUUAAUAUCAUCCCCUACGCAUCACACACAGUUAACUCUAUUAGAAGCAGCAAACCGUGGCGUAUUAGAUUUAGACUCGCUUAAGACUAUCUUAGACCUAAGAACAAACGAAUACAUCACUCUAAGUGAAGCAUUGAAAGAAGGAAUUAUCUUACACGACAGCAGGUUUAGAAACUCAGUUACCAAUGAAGUCUUGCCAAUUCAGGAAGCUGUAAGUCGAGGUUAUAUAAUAUCCGUAGUCAAAAAGUCUAUCUUUGAUGUAGACGGCUUCCAACCGCCUGACAAAACCGACCACAUAAGCUUCAAUGCAGCCAAUACUAAAGGUUAUAUUAGCAAAAAAUCUAACGGUAGUUUACUGGUCAACAAGAAAAACGGCAAACUCCUUUCAUUUUCGGACGCAGUCCAAUCAGGAGAAGUAAAACCAGAGGUUUAUGAGAACCUUAUUCGACCAAUAGGUAUUGUAGAAAAUCAACAAGAGUUAACCCUUCUAGAGGCUGUAUUCCGGGGUUACAUCGAACCCAAAACCGGUAACUUACUGGAACCAUCAACUGGUAAAGUUGUGUUUUUAAACGAUGCUAUAGCCCAGCAUUUUAUAACACCAGAAGGUGCUGCAUUAUUAAAUAGUCUUUUAAAUUUGAACGUCUCCACAAGAGUUACACGUACUCUAGUCCAACGAUAUGUUACUGUUACUAGUCAAGAUGUUACACAAGAAAUCAUGACAUAUACCGAAGCCUUGAGGUUAGGUUUGAUUAAUAACGAACAACAGACUUACACCGAUCCUCAGACACAUGAGGUCAUUCCAAUAGUUCAAGCUAUCAGCGAAGGAAAACUAGCCCCCGACUCUGAAAAUUCAGAAAAGAUAGUAACAGGUCAAAUAAUAAAAGCUCCUACAGUAAGUACAUCAACAUCAACUAAAACGUUUAAUGAUAAGGGUGUUACAACAGACUUCAUUACGAACGAAAAGAAAUCGUUUGAAAAACAUAUUUAUGCUUUGCCUUCCGAGGGUUUGUCACUGUCUCAAGCAAUCAGUCAAAAACUAUAUGAUCCUAUGCAUGGUUUGUUCCUCAUUCAAGGUACAGAUCGUCAGGUUACCUUUGAGGAAUGUGUUAAUCUUAAACUUAUUAAUCCAAAUUCACUAACUGUUGUAGAUCCAGUCAGUAAAAAUAAAUUGCCAGUUAAUAAAGCUCUGGAGAAGAAAAUUAUAGAUUCAACUGGUCAUUAUAUUUCUUCCGAGGGAAAGAUAAGUAUGCAAAAAGCUAUAGAGAGAGGACUUAUUACAUUUGAAGACGUAAUGGACCUAGAUCAACCGAAUAAAACAGUAACAACAAUCAAAGUAGUGAGAAUAGAACCGAACGUAAUAUAUGAUCCCUCAUCACACGAUGUUACUUUCUUAGAUAAAAAUCAAUCGUCAGAUAUAGCCACUGCUUUAACUGAACAUAAAAUUCCUCUUGAAAAAAUUACCAUAAAAGAUCCAAAAACAAAUAAAAUUAUUCCAGUUAGCCAAGCAGUUGAGCAAAACAUUGUGGACUUAAAACGAGGCACUGUUGUCGAUAAUUCUGGUAACAAGAUAACAUUGAAAGAUGCCGCUCAAUUAGGUCUGUUGGCUGUUGUAGGUGCUCCAGUAGUUGCUACCAAGGCAACCAUAAAAAUAGUUAAACACUUUUUCGUUACCGAUCCAAAGACUGGUGAACAAAUUCCUGCUGAGGUAGCCCUUGAAAAAGGUAUAAUAGACCAACCUACUCUAGAAAAAUUAGAAGAACAAACUAACGCGACGCAGCAAGUAGUUUCAGAUUAUUUGCCUACUCAGGGAAUUGCUCAAAUUGAGCCUUCCAAAAUAAAGACAUUAAGUACUGCCACUAUUAGUUUAUACGAACAAGAUGGACCCUCUGAAGCCGAAAAAACUCGAGCUCGUAUAACGAUAGAGCCUAGCUAUAAAGUUAAAAUUGGCAGAGCCCAGUCUCUUAGCCCUGAACGUGAGGCUAAGAAAGUUGUUUUACAAAAACUAAGGAAGAAGAUCGUGAAACCUAAAGACGCUGUUAGUGCAGGAAUUAUUGAUUCAGAAACAGCUCAAAUUUUAGAUCAAAAAAGUGUGUUUGUAUCUUCUAGCGGAGAACCUCUUACCUUACAAGAAGCUUUAGAAGCCCAAAAAUUAGAUGGAGAGCAAGGUAAGAUCAUAGAUCCCCAAAGAGGUGAUUUACUUACUAUAAACGAAGCCAUUGACCGUGGUAUCUUAGAUCCAGAUGGUACGAAUGAACUCUUAGUGCCUUUAAAUCGUAGCCUAUCAAUUCCUGAACUUGUGAAACAGGGACUAUUAGAUCCCAGUAGCCAUAAAAUUGUCCAUCCAGAAACUGGUGCUCAUUUAAGUAUUAGUGAAGCAAUUGUCUGUGAUAUUGUUGAUCCUUUGAGUACUUUAGUAGAAAAGUCUGGCGAUAAAGUCACUUUAGGUAAAGCUUUAGAAAUAGGUGUAGUAGAUGACGAAAAAUCCACCGUAGAGACAAAUUCCGGUACUAAAGACUUGCAAGAAGCUGUGAAAGACAAAAUAUUUGAUGUUGAAGUACCUGCCGGACCAGUUGAGUUACCUCCCGCAGGUAUGACAUUCCCAGUAGCUGUGAAAAGAGGUCUUGUGGAUACUGACAAGAAAGAAAUUAUCCACCCUCUAACUAACGAAUCCAUUCCAUUAGCUGAAGCCAUUGAAGACAAUUUUAUUAUGACAUUACCUUUUCCCACUAGUCCUGAUUCUGUAAAGAUAGAAAAUGCCUUAGAAUCAAACCUAAUAGAUUCAAAGAAUUCCACUUUUAAAGAUCCAAAAACGGGAGAUAUUUAUCCCAUUUCCGAGGCUGUAGAGAAAGGGUUACUAGUUUUAAAAGAACCCCUUCACGUCGUAUCAUUCAGUCAUUCCACACCUGUAACUACUUUAACCGAAACUGUUAACACUAUUCAUACUGUAACUACUAAAACUAUCGAACUGUUAUCAGGAUAUGCCAUGUUAAGUAAAAACGAAAUUCAAAAUAUAGAAACUGGUGCAGUUAUUACUAUGGAAGAAGCUCUGCAACAAGGUAUUGUUAAAGAUGUCAACGAAACUAAGAACAGAACAAUUGUAAAGGACAUAAAAAUGAGUUUUUCAGAUGCUUUAAACAAAGGUUUGGUUGAUAUGAAUGCAGGAAUUUAUUUGGAUCCUAGUUCGGGUGAAAAAUUAUCGAUAGAACAAGCUUUGCAAGAAGGCAAACUUCUGGCAGCUCCUGAAGGUACCCAAGAACUGAUUGAAACUCAUAAAACUACAGAGUUGACCAUUGCAGAAGCUUACGAAACGCUGUAUGAUAAAGAGACCAGUACCUUCCGCGAUCCAGAUGAUAAAACUAAGGAAUUAACAUUUAAGGAAGCUAUAGAGAAAGAAAUAAUAGACCCUAAUUCAAUAGUAUAUGAUGUGACUUCCAAUAAACCUAUCACAGUUGAACAAGCUGUUGAAAAAGGACUAUUAGAUCCUAAAACAGGAAAUGUUAAAGACGAAAAAACCGGCAAAUCUAUAGACUUCAAAGAAGCUACAAAGAAAGGCUUAAUAGCUGUUUUAGGUGGAUUAGCCUUGCCUGUUGUAGCACCUGUAUUAGCUGGGGCUGCUGCUGUAAAAGCAGUAAAGGAAUAUGCUGACAAGAAAAAAGCAGAAAAACAAGCGGAAGAGAUUUAUUCACAAAAGAAUCUUAAGCCAGUUCAAAUAGAUUUGCCCCAUACCAAAGACACGACUAAAGAAGAAGUUACUGUAAUCAUUGACAUGCCUCAACAAUCAAUUGUACUUCCAAUAGGAGACGCCAUUUCGCAGCAUAAAAUCGAACCUAAAAUUUGUAGAGUUAUUUACAACAAUGAAGAAUUACCAUAUACAGUACAAGAUGGUUUAAAUGAAAACAAACUAAGUCCUCUAAAUAAUGUUCAGAUCAUCUCAAAUCACAAAGUUGUGUUAGUCGAUGAUUCUAAGAUUGCCGUUUUGGUCAUAUCAAAACAUUUAACGCCUCAGAUGAUGGCUGAAUUAGGGUAUUACGAUAUAAGAACUCGAACCUUCACAAAUCCCCAAACAGGGGCUUACAUUACCUUUGAAGAAUUAAUAUACGGUCUAGGUGUAUUUGAUCCCAACACAAUUUUGGUCAAAGACUCCACCAAGAAACCUCCCAUCUACAUUCCUCUUGAAGAAGCUUUAAAUAGAAGGCUGAUCGACAGGCAAAAGGGAUACAUGGUUGAUCCUAAAACAGGUAAGAAAGUACCGUUCUUCGAAGCAGUUAAACUGAGAUGGAUCAUACACGUUAACGAUAAACCUAAGGAGAAGUACCAACCUCUUUCGUUGCAGGAAAUUGUAGAAACUGAGAAAUUCGAUCCUGUUAACGUAACUGUCAAAUUAGAUGACAAAGAACUGCCGUUGAUUAAAGCUAUUACAUCCAAUAUUGUUGAUGGUAAAUCAGUUACAAUACGAGAUCCAAGAACGAUGCAACUUGUUCCUUACUAUGAAGCUGUAGACAAAUCUAUCGUCGAUCCUCAAAGAGGCUUAGUUAUUAACACUGCCACACAGAGCACUAUGAGAUUUCCUGAAGCGUUUGUUAAGGGCUAUGUUUUAGCCAUUCCAAGACCUAUUUCAUUACAAGCUGUUAUACAUAAAGGAAUGUACGACUUACAGACGUGCAAAGUUAAUGAUCCACUGACUAAACUACCACUUUCAAUAGCUGAUGCAGUCGAUCGCCAAAUAAUCGACGACAAAAUAAGCGAAAUUAAAGAUGUCAAGAGUAACACUUUCAUACCUCUCGAUGAAGCAUUGAAGAAUAAUUUAGUAGACUCAGUUGAAGGCAAAAUUAAAAACACGCAAACUGGACAACUAGUUCCUUUAGAUCAAGCUUUGGAGACUAACUUGAUCCGAACAAAACCUGUUGUAUUUAAUUUACUGCAAGCUAUCAUUCAAAACUAUUAUUCACCCCGAACAGGACUAAUCUUGAAUCCCAUAACAGGUGAUGAAAUUACGCUCCAAAAAGCCAUUGAAUACAAGUUAAUAGACCCAGUAACGACUAGAAUUAAAGACGACAAACGUGGCCGUAUAGUUGAAAUAAAAGAAGCAAUCCAGUCGAAUCUAUUAGAUGUUGAGAAAGGUAUCCUUACAAGCCCUCUCUUACCAUUAGAUCAAGCUUACCUCAAAGGUUACAUAUUAAGUACCGUUUUGCCAUGGUCUCUUCAAGAAACUUUAGCCCAAAAAGUCUAUGACCCGAAGACAGGACAGUUCACUAUAAACAACGCGAAAAUAACACUUGUCGAAGCUAUAGAUGGAGGAAUUGUUAACCCUAAUGUCCUAACGAUUAAAGAACCCAGAUCUGGAGAUAUUAUUACUCUAAAUGAUGCUAUUAACUUAAAAAUUAUAGAUCCGGUAAAGGGAACUGCAUUGAAUCCUGUAACCAACACUGAUGCAAAUCUGUACGAAGCUUACGAUAGUGGGUUAAUAGUACCUUACAAGAGUCAAAUAACUCUUCCUGAAGCAGUCUUCAAAGGUUUCUAUGAUCCGAAUACGGGUAAGUUCAUCAAUCCUAAAAACAAAGAAAGACUUAAGGCUUCUAGCGCUAUUAAUAGAGGCUAUGUAGAUAUAUCUAGUACUUUGGUAACAAUUGACGAAGAAAUCGUUACAUUUGAACAAGCCAUGAUCGAUGGAGUCAUCGAUACCAAUGAAGGUAUUUUGAUGAGUUACAAUGAACCUGUUGAUUUCAGCGAAGCGUUUGAAAGAGGUUUGUUGGUAGAGGUACGACCACCAGUACCAUUGAGUGAGGCCAUUGCUAAAGGAAUUUGUGACGAAGAAUCACAGUUGUUCCUAGAUCCCCAAACUGGGCAAUAUAUACCUUUGAUAGAAGCCAUUGAAAUCAAUUUAAUAGACGCUGAAUCUGUUAGUGUUAAAGAUACUCGCAUAGGAAUAUGGAGAAAGAUUCCUCUUAUUGACGCCAUACAUAACAACUACGUAGAUGGUACCACCGGUAUGGUGAAAGACUUUUCUAAGGGUGAGCCUUACGAAGUAACGUUACAGAAAGCUUUCUCCUUAGGAAUUUUGGUAGAUAAUAAAGCUGCCGUGUCCUUGCAAAGAGCUAUCCAUCAAGGUCUUUAUGACGAAAACACAGGUAAAAUAUUGGAUCCUAACACGGAUAGACGAAUUACUCUACAUGAAGCUAUUCGCAACUUUAACAUUAAUCCAUUACUUUUGUGUCAUUUGGACAAAAAUUCUGGCAAACUGCUUAACCUCACAGAUACAUGUCGGUUGGGAAUAAUCGAUAAGCGUAAUGGUACAUUCAGAGAACCCCGUACUGGCAAACCUAUCAAACUUUCUGAAGCUUUGAAUUCUGGUUUAAUUGUAGACAUUGAAACAGCCAACUUUGGUUUGUAUGAGGCUCUAGAAAUGGAACUGUAUAUUCCAGAGGAAAAAGUAUUUGUUCAUCCGGCUACAGGUCGCAAAUAUAACUUAAAGGAAGCUUGUGAAAACGAACUUAUUAAUCCUGUUACUUCACUAAUUAAAAACAGUAAAUUAAACAAAUAUGUUCAGCUACCAGAAGCUAUCGAAAGCAAUAUUAUUAAUGAUGAGUUGGCUACGUAUAUUUUCCCACACGGAAACACCAUCGAUCUGGUAGACGCAAAGAAUAAGGGUCUGAUCGUUACUGCUACAACGCCAUUAAGUUUGGAAGAAGCCAUUAAAAACUUUUUGUACAGGCCAGAAUCUGGAAAAUUCGCUGAUCCAGUUAACGGUGAAUAUUACGAUCUUUCCCAAGCUGUGUCUAUAGGUUUUAUUGAUCCAACUACUACAGGUCUACGAGAUUUAACAAACAAUAGGGUCAAAUCUUUAAUAGCUGGUAUUCAAGAUCAUAAUAUAGACGUUGAAAAGGGUAGAGUUCUUGAUUCAAAAUCUAAAAAGACUUACAACUUGGACGAAGCAUUUAAGAAAGAUUUAUUGAUAACGUUGGAAAGACCUUUGGUAGAGGAGUUUACGCAAAAAUCAAUAACAGAGUCUCAAGCAACUCCCAAACAAACUAGGGAAUGUUCUCUGGAAGAGGCACUUAAGUUUGAACUUGUGGAUCCAAGUGUGGCUGUAAUAAAAGACUUGCAAACAGGUAAAUUUAAAACUGUUGGAGAUGCUAUCGAUGAAAAGCAACUUAACGUUAACAAAAUUGUAGUUUUUGAUCCAGCAACUGGCAAAGUUAGAUCCCUUUGUUGUAUGUAUGACAAAACUAUUGUUAUCUAUUUAAAAGAACCUCUUUCGUUUAUUAAAGCUAUCGAAACCAAUCUGUUAGACGUUAAUACUGGUAAAUUUACCGAUCCACAAUCCAACGAAGUUCUGACAUUGAAAGAUUCUAUUAGUCUAGGUUUUAUUGAUCCCGAUACUGCUCUUAUCAAAGACUCGAAUAAAAAGAAACUAAUCAAACUUCCAGAAGGUUUUAGAAAGGGCCUCAUUGAAGCUGAAAAAGGAAGCGUUCUAGAUACUAGUACCUCAAAACUUUUCCCACUGCAAACUGCUCUAGAUACCGGCUUACUGAUAACUACCAACAGAAGUUUCAGUUUGAUAGAAUGUAUUACGUACGGCAUUUAUAACCAGACCACUGGUCACUUUAACGACCCAUUUGUCACUACCAACAUUAUAGAUAGAAAGAAGCUUACGCUCGAUGAAGCUUUAUCUGAGAAUUUGGUAGAUCCUAGUAGUACCGUCGUUAAAGAUUCUGAAUCCGGUGCCUUCUUGCCACUUAUAUUAUCCAUAGCAACCAAAUUAGUCGAUCCAGUAGAAGGAAAAAUAUUUGAUAAAGUCGAAAAUAAACAUAUAGAUUUCGCAAAAGCGUUGGAGAAGGGGUGGAUAUUACCUGCAGAAGAAAGGCAAGCUAUUGAAGAAAAAUACAAACUAUGCGACGAAUCUCUAUCGAAGUUACUUCGUUGGAUAGGAGACAUCGAAGAUCGCUUAGCCUCACAAGAUGUGAUUCAUGAAGUGGAAGAGGAAUUAAGGAACCAAAUUAAUACCUUGAAACAGAUCAAAGACGACUUGGACCAACAUUCUGGCCAAGUUUCUCACUGUCUCGAUCAAGUACGACAACUCGUCGUUACAGCUGGCGAUAUUCUGUCAAAAAGUGAGGUUAUGGGCCUAGAAAAGAGCGGAAGGAAUCUAAAGACUAGAUACGACAAAGCUGUCGAACGCUCAGACAAACUUUUGCGUAAACUCUUGAGCGCUAGAGACGAAUUAGCCAAACUGAAAGGAGAACUUACUGUAUUUUCCGAUUGGUUGAGUAAGGCGAGAAGAACUUUGGAAGAUAAAGAAAGGUCUUUGAGUGAUUUGCACCGUUUGGACUCUAGUGCAGAUAGUACAAAAGAAUUUGUUAGUGAUGUCAUCGCUCACCAAGCUGACUUGAGGUUUAUUACCAUGUCUGCACAGAAGUUUGUUGAUGAAGGCAAAGAAUAUCUUCAUCUUCUCAACGAUCUACGUACUUCUCUUCCUUCACGGCUGCCACACAUUGAGCCGUAUUCAUCUCAAGAAUCACCAAUACGCAACGAAGUUUCUUUGGUUACCCAGCAGUAUCGUGACCUUCUGCACCGUGCUAAUAAUCUCUCCGAUAGACUUUCUGGAGUAGGUGGCCGUCAAAGAGAGUACUCCGAUGCACUAGACAAAGCCAAAGAAUGGCUAAGAGAAGCUGAACCUAGAGCUAACAAGCUACUUAACGAACAAAUUGGUGGUGAUCCCAAAACUGUUGAAGAACAACUUCACAAAGCUAAACAACUUAACAAUGAAUUCGUCGUUAACGGCAGGCUAAUUGAUAAUGCUAAACAGGCCACCAGCGCUUUAUUAAGAUCCCUCGAAGGCCAAAUCUCCCCAUCAGAAAUGGCACGUUUAGAGGAGCCAGUUAAAAGCCUUGAAAAUAAAUACAAUCAAUUAUGCAGUGCCAUCGCUAAUCGUUGUCAAGAAUUGGACACAGCUCUUGUCCAAUCUCAAGGAGUCCAAGAUGCCCUCGAUGGAAUUAUUGAUUGGCUCAACCAAGCCGAAAACCAAUUCAAAAAUAUUCAAAAACCAGCGUCUCUCAUCAAAGAAAGGCUUGAAGAACAACUGAGAGAGCAUCGUAUUUUCCAAUCCGAUAUCGACACUCAUAUUUCCUCGAUUGACAACGUCUACAUGUCUGCCAACGAACUGAUAAUGUCAACCAGCAACGCUCGCGUAGCUAAAAAAAUUGAAGGCAAAUUGAACGAUGUUAAAGUUAGAUUCGAAAAAUUAUUUGAUAAGACACAGCAGCGAGGAGUAUUCCUUGAAGGAAUCAACCAAGAUUUAACCGUGUUUAACAAUCAAGCAACCAAAUUCGAUGAAUGGUACAACAGCGUCAUAGAAAUUAUAGAAUCUAAAGACAUGAACAGACUACCAAUGGAAGAAUACUCCAAACAAAUGAAGAAACUUGUAGCCAAUAGAGAAGACAACAGAACUAUGUACGAAGAUACAGUUAAAAUUGGUAAAGACCUCCUCAACAAACGUGAUGUAACUGACACCACGAAUGUCAGAGACCGUGUCAAGGCUUUAGAAAAUCAAUGGAAGCAACUGGACAAUCUUCUUGAAGAAAAAGCACGGCUUUCCAAGUUACGUGCAGAACAACAAAGUAAUUAUGAAGCUUUACGACAGAAAGUUAAUGAUUGGUUGAGCAAAAUGGAAACUAAAGUUUCUAGAUUAGAGGCUGUUGCAGUUCAUUUAGAUACUCUUAAGAAACAAAACGAAGAGCUUAAACCAAUCUCCAAGGAUUACAGAGAUUUUGGAAGUACCAUUGAUAAGAUCAAUGAUGUUGGUAGCGCUUAUGACAGUCUAGUAAGAGGUGACAGACCCGAAUCACCAUCAAGAAGAAAAGGCUACAGUCCUGGAAAACGUACUCCAAUUGACGGACGUUCACCGUCACCUACUAAAGGUUUAUCCCCACUAUCUCCUGGUGGAUCAAGUGGUUUUUCAUCGAGAAGAUCAAGCCAAGAUGGUUUCCAUCUUGAAGAACUGUCUAUUAUACAACAACAAUUGUCCGAAAUCAAUAACAGGUAUUCAUUGCUUGGAGUCAAACUAACUGAUAGACAAAACGAAAUUGACACCGUCCGUGAAGAGGUUAAGAAACAACUGGAAAACCUCAAGACACUUACUACUUUCCUCGACAAGAUUCAAAGACAAUUGCCCAAAGAUGUCGUUCCUAGCAGUAAAGACGAAGCAGAUAAACUCAACAAACAACUGAAACAAAUUCUCGAAGAAAUGUACGAAAAGCAGUCCUUGUUGGACUCCACCAAAACCCAAGUUAAAGAUCUUCUGCGAAGAAAACCUAAUGCUAUUGGUGCGGACAAUCUUAAUGGAGAGUUAGAGGAUGUUGUUUCCCACUGGAAGAGUCUAAACGAUCAUUUGAAAAACAAAAUUAAAUUCAUGGAAGACAUGAAGGACUUCCUCGAUACUCAUGAUUCCCUAGCUUCUUGGUUGUCGGCUAAAGAACGUAUGUUAACUGUAUUGGGACCAAUAUCUAGUGAUUCUAGAAUGGUUCAAUCCCAAGUUCAACAAGUGCAAGUACUAAGAGAGGAAUUUAGAACCCAACAACCACAACUACAACAUCUUAUUGAAGUUGGUGAUAAUGUGCUAAAUCACCUUGAACCAAAAUCGUCCGAACACCAGAAGGUUAAUAACAAAUUAGCUGUAGUUCAACAAAAAUGGGCGGAUUUAUUAAGCAAACUUGAAGAAAGAGCCGACUCACUCGGAGCAGCUGCCGACACUAGCAGAGAAUUCGAUGCACAAUUAACUCGUCUUAGAGAUGCUUUACAAGGUAUCUCUGAUAAUUUGGAUGAAGUACCACUUGAAAAAGACCCCGAAGAUCAGUUGCGUAAGGUAGAAAAUCUUGAAAGACAAUUGGAAGGGCAAAGACCACUUCUAACAGAUCUUGAAUCUAACGGAGCUCACUUAUGUGAUGUAUUAAGCGAUCCUGCUUCACGAGCUGAUAUACAAGCCAAGUUGGCCUCUGUAGGUCGUCAAUAUAACGCUUUGCAGAAGAAAUUGGACCACAAAAAAGCUGAAAUUGAAGGAUCUUUACGAGAUGGAAGACAAUUUGAAGAACAAUGUGCGAAGACACUAGGAUGGCUAUCAGAUGAAUUAGGAUCAUUGUCAGAAAGAUUCCUUAUAUCUGCUAUUAGAGACGUUUUAGAGCAACAGUUGAAUCACCAUGAGCCAAUAUAUAGGGAUGUAUUAGCUAGAGAGCACGAAGUUAUUAUGCUGUUGAACAAAGGACGAGAUAUCCUGGCUAAAAACAGUAAGAGUGAUAACAGAACUCUUCAAAGAGAUCUUGAUAAAAUUAAUCAAAACUGGGAGAAACUACGUAAAGAAACAGUAGAUAGACACACUAGACUUCAAACUUGUAAAGAGCAUUGUCGCAAGUAUUACAAAGCUUUGGAAACAUUCCUUCCGUGGUUAAGACAAGCUGAAGAUAAAUUGGAUACAUUAAGACCUUCGUCAUUCCAAAAGAAACAUAUUGAAAAACAACUAAAAGAACUCCAAGCAUUCCGUAAUGAAGUUUGGAAGAAAUCUGGAGAUUACGAAAACACCAGAUCACUCGGUGAAACAUUCCUUGCAGCUUGUGAUAUUGACAAAGACGAUGUUAAGAAUGAAUUGGGUGAUCUGAAGGAUAGAUGGGAUAGGCUGAAUAAUGACUUGAUUGCUAAAACACAAGCUUUGGAAGAUCAAGCCAGAAAACUAGCAAACUUCAGUGAAAAUGUUCGAGAUUUACAACAUGGUUUGGAAAGAUGUGAAGAUAAAUUAACUUCACAUGAUGCUUUGGGAGGUGCUGCUAAAGACCCUAAACUCCUAGACCGCAUUAAGGCACUCCGGGAAGAAACCAUAAAGCUGAAAAAACCAUUACAAGGCGUUCGUCAACAAGCUAACGAUUUGUGCAAUGAAGCAUCACAACAUCACAUUGAUGCUGAUCAUCUUAAAGAUGAAGUCGAUGGCAUAGGUGAUCGAAUUGAUGAUUUAUGUGCUAAAUUAGAUGACCGCUGUUCAGAUUUGCAAUCGGCUGCUACAGCUGUAACACAGUUCAACGAUGAAGUGAAAGAAAUAACUCAAGAUUUAUCUGCUUUAGAAACAGAAUUAGACGAUAUGAAACCUCCUGGUAGAGAAGUGAAGGUUGUUAGAGGCCAAAUAGAUGAUGUAAACAAAUUCCUCACCAAGGUUAAUAAAGCAAGUGACAAUCUUAAGCAUGCCAUUAAUUCUGGUGAAAGAUUGGUGGAUAGUGGAUUUGCUCCUGAUACUGUACUUACUAGACAACAGUUGGAUACAUUAAAGAAACAAUUAGGAAAACUAGAUGACCGAGCUCAAAACAGAGAAAAAGAUCUAGAAAACACGCUAAAGAAACUGGAAGGUUUCUAUAUAUCCCACGCAAGUGUUUUAGACGAUAUUCAAGAUGCCUCAGGAGAAUUGCGUAAACUUAAGCCAGUAGGUUCCGAAGUCGAUAGUAUUAGAGCUCAACAGAAAGAUUUCAAGAAAUUCAGAGCUAAUACAAUUGAACCUUUGGGUAAGAAUAUUGAAGAAGUCAAUAGGUUAGGACAAGGUCUGAUUCAAUCUGCUUCAUCUGGUGUCAACACUGCUAUUCUCGAAAAAGAUUUAGAAAGAAUGAAUGCUCUAUGGAAUGAUCUUAAAGAAAAGAUUAAUGACAGGGAAAGGAAACUUGACAUUGGUUUAUUACAAUCUGGUAAAUUCCAAGAAGCUUUGGACGGUUUAUCUAAAUGGUUAACGGAUACUGAAGAGAUGGUAGCUAACCAAAAACCACCAUCCGCCGACUACAAAGUCGUUAAAGCACAAUUGCAAGAGCAGAAGUUCCUUAAAAAGAUGCUUCUUGACCGACAGAACUCCAUGACAUCACUGUUUAAUAUGGGUAACGAAAUCGCCAAAGAAGCUGAGCCAUCUGAACGCAAAGCUAUCGAAAAACAACUUAAAGAUCUUAUUGCUCGCUUCGAUGCAUUGACGGAAGGAGCCCAACAACGUACCAUGGAUUUGGAACAAGCUAUGAGAGUAGCGAAAGAAUUCCAAGACAAACUUAUACCUCUACAAGAUUGGUUAGAUCGUGCCGAAAAGAAAGUCAAAGAUAUGGAACUGGUUCCUACUGACGAAGAAAAGAUAGAGCAAAGAAUCCGUGAACAUGAUGUUCUCCACAACGAUAUUCUUGGCAAGAAAGUUGAUUUUAAAGAACUUACAGAAAUCGCUUCGAAUUUGAUGUCUCUUGUUGGAGAAGACGAAGCUUCUGGAUUAGCUGACAAAUUACAAGAGGUCACAGAUCGGUACGGAAACUUGGUGGAAGCCAGUGAGCACAUUGGACAACUUUUAACAGCUUCAAGACAAGGUCUUAGACAUCUUGUCCUCACUUAUCAAGAUUUGGCUGCCUGGAUGGAUCAAAUGGAACAACGGUUAUCUCGUUAUAAAGUUCUUGCUGUUCAUAACGACAAACUUUUGGAACAAAUGGACGCUCUAACAGAUCUUUCUGAAAAUAUUGCCAGCCGUCAAAAUGACAUUGACGGUACAGUUGAUGCGGGAGUAGAAUUAAUGAGACACAUUUCUUCUGAUGAAGCCUUAGAACUUAAAGAUAAGUUGGACUCCUUGCAACGUAGAUACAAUGAUUUAACAACCAAGGCAGCAGAUCUUUUGAAACAUGCUGAAACAAUACUACCGCUGGUACAGAAGUUCCAUACUAAUCACAACCGCUUAGUUGAUUGGAUGCAAGGUGCUGAGAACAUUUUACAAUCAGCUGAACCACAUGAAGGUGAUAUUGCACGUUUAGAAAUAGACCUACAAGAACUAAGACCGGUGCUAGAAACUAUUAAUGUACUAGGCCCACAAUUAUGCCAAGCUAGUCCUGGAGAAGGUGCUGCUACGAUCGAGGGACUUGUUACGAGAGACAAUAGAAGAUUUGAUGCCAUCGCCGAACAAAUUCAAAGAAGAGCAGAGAGAAUCCAACUUGGAAAACAAAGAGCUUUGGAAGUUACCGGUGAUAUAGAUGAGCUCUUAGAAUGGUUCAGGGAAGUAGAAGGACAGCUGAGAGAUGCCGAGAAACCAUCUGGAGAACCCGAUUUGAUCAGAAUUCAACUUAAAGAACAUAAAGCGCUUAAUGACGAUAUUUCUAGCCAGAAGAGUAGAGUACGUGACGUCUUGUCAUCUGCUAAGAAAGUUUUACGUGAAAGUCCACCAAGCGAAGACACUAGCCUUAUUAGAGAGAAAAUGGAAGAUUUAAGAGAAGUUAUGGAUGUUGUGUCUGGAUUAAGUUCUGAUAGAUUGGGAAUUUUGGAACAAGCACUACCACUAGCUGAGCACUUCCACGAUACGCACAAUGUACUUGUAUCUUGGUUGAACGAUAUGGAAGAACAGGUAUCUAUGUUAACAAUGCCUGCUUUAAGACCCGAUCUAAUAGCUCAACAACAAGAUCGUAACGAAAUGUUCUUACAAUCCAUAAACGAACACAAACCACUCAUAGACAAACUAAACAAAACCGGAGAAGCUCUUAUUAACUUGUGUAACGAAGAUGAUGGUAGUAAAGUACAGGAAUUGCUUGACUCUGAUAAUGCUAGAUACGGCGCUCUUAAACUAGAACUCAGAGAACGCCAACAAGCCUUGGAACAAGCUUUACAGGAAAGCUCCAAAUUUUCUGAUAAACUUGAAGGAAUGCUCCGCGCUUUGUCUAACACAGCAGAUCAAGUAAAUCAUUUAGAGCCAAUAUCUGCACAUGUACCUAAAAUUAAAGAUCAAAUUGAGGACAAUGAUAAUUUAGUUGCCGAUUUAGAUAAACGAAAAGAAGCUUAUGCAGCUGUCAAACGCGCUGCUGACGACGUUAUCAGUAAGGCAGGAAAUAGGGCUGAUCCAGCCAUUAGGGAGAUCAAGGCCAAAUUAGAGAGACUGAAGAGUUUGUGGGAUGACGUGCAAAAAGCGACACAAACUAGAGGGAAAUCGCUGGACCAUGCUUUGGAAGCAGCUCAGAAGUUCUGGAAAGAAUUACAUGCCAUCAUGGCAACACUCAAAGACCUUGAAGAUUCUCUGGUAUGCCAAGAACCUCCAGCCGUUGAGCCUAAGGCUAUUCAAGAGCAACAGGUUGCUUUACAAGAGAUCAGACAGGAGAUCGAUCAGACCAAACCCAACGUUGAUAGAGUGAGAAGUUCUGGGGAGAAAUUGAUGAAAUUGUGUGGUGAGCCUGAUAAACCGGAUGUGAAGAAACAUAUUGAAGACUUGGAUCAUGCCUGGGAUAAUAUCACUGCUCUGUAUGCCAAACGUGAAGAAAACCUCAUUGAUGCCAUGGAAAAAGCUAUGGAAUUCCAUGAAACACUACAGAACCUUCUUGCAUUCUUGACCCAAGCUGAAGGCAAAUUCGAAAAACUAGGUCCACUGGGAACAGAUAUUGAUGCCGUCAAAAAACAAAUCGAUCAAUUAAAGAAAUUCAAAGCUGAGGUUGAUCCUCAUAUGGUCAAAGUUGAAGCUUUAAACAGGAGUCUCGUAAGGCAAGCUCAAGAACUCACAGAACGCACAUCAUCAGAUCAAGCAGCCUCCAUCAAAGAACCACUUUCAGCUGUCAACAGAAGGUGGGAUGAUCUUCUUAGAGGAAUCGUAGAAAGGCAAAGGCAGCUUGAGAAUGCCUUGUUGCGUUUGGGUCAAUUCCAACACGCUCUUAAUGAGCUCCUCGUAUGGAUCUCCAAGACUGAUGCUACCUUAGACGAGUUAAAACCCGUUGCGGGAGAUCCACAAGUAUUGGAGAUCGAAUUAGCUAAAUUAAAGGUUUUGGUUAAUGACAUACAGGCGCAUCAAACUAGUGUCGAUACUCUUAAUGAUGCUGGAAGACAAAUAAUUGAAAGUGGUGAAUCCGAUGAAGCCAGUGUUACCCAAGAAAAACUCAACACGCUGAAUACUCAAUGGCGUUCUCUAAUGCAGAAAGCAGCGGAUAGACAAAGGGAGCUUGAAGAUGCGCUUACAGAUGCUCAGAGAUUUAAUGCUGAGAUUCAAGAUCUUCUGUCGUGGUUAGGAGAUGUCGAUGGAAUCAUUACCGCCAGUAAACCAGUUGGAGGGUUACCAGAAACCGCCUCCGAGCAAUUGGAGAGGUUCAUGGAAAUAUAUAAUGAAAUAGAGGAUAACAGACCUAAAGUUGAGACAGUCUUAGCGCAAGGUCAAGAAUAUCUGAAGAAAGCUACUUCACCUGCAUCUAACUUACAGCAGAAUUUGCGCACAUUAAAACAAAGAUGGGAUAAUGUCACUGCCAGAGCUAACGACAAGAAGAUCAAAUUAGAAAUUGCUCUUAAGGAAGCUACAGAGUUCCACGAAUCACUACAAGCAUUCGUUGAUUGGCUAACUAAUGCAGAGAAACAUCUUCAAAAUGUGAAACCAGUUUCUAGGGUUUUGGAAACUAUUCAGAAUCAAAUAGAAGAACACAAAGUUUUCCAAAAAGACGUUAGUGCCCACAGAGAGAUAAUGCUUGCUUUAGACAAAAAGGGAACGCAUCUCAAGUAUUUCAGUCAAAAACAAGAUGUCAUACUAAUCAAAAACUUACUUAUCAGUGUACAGCACAGGUGGGAGAGAGUCGCUUCCAAAUCAACUGAAAGAACUAGAGCACUUGACUUGGGUUACAAAGAAGCCAAAGAGUUCCACGAUUCUUGGACUUCCCUCAUGCAUUGGUUAGACGAAACUGAAGAAUCUCUUGAUGAACUUCAGUCUGAAGCCAUCAGCAAUGAUCCUAGUAAGAUCAAGCAACGUCUUGCCAAACAUCAGGAACUGCAAAAAGCUCUAUCUGGUAAACAGGGCACUUAUGAUAACGUAAUGAAGACUGGUAAGCAGCUUAAAGACAAAGCUCCCAAACCUGAUGAACCUACUCUUAAACAUAUGCUCUCGGAACUGAAGAGCAAAUGGAAUUCAGUUUGUCAUAAGAGCGUUGACAGGCAACGCAAACUUGAAGAAGCUCUCUUAUAUUCAGGACAGUUCAAAGACGCCAUAGCAGCUUUAGUCCAAUGGCUACAAAAAGCUGAAAAAGAUCUUUCAAAGGACAGUCCUGUUCAUGGUGAUUUGGAUACCGUUAAUCAUUUAGUAGAGGCGCACAAAGUGUUUGAAAAAGAACUAGAAAAACGUAACGACCAAAUGGAAUCAGUUAUUAAAAAUGGUCAGGAGUUAGAAAGAACUGCAUCCAAAACUGACGCUAUCCAGAUUAGAGCUCAAUUAAAUGAACUAACCGAACUUUGGGAAACGGUGACAGACUUAACAAGAAUCAGAGCAGAUAAGUUAAGAGAUGCACUGAAAGAAGCCGAAAAACUUCAUAGAUCCGUGAACAUGAUCCUCGACUGGUUGUCCGAAGCUGAAAUGAAACUGAGAUUUGUUGGUAACCAACCCGAAGAUGAAGCAACUGCUUACGAACAAGUUAAAGCUUUGGAUCACUUCAGAGCUCAACUAAAUGAAAAAGAAAUCGAGAAAGAUCAAACUCUUGAACUAGCCCACAACAUUCUUGCAAAGGCCCAUCCAGAUUCCAUCAACGUUAUCAAAAAUUGGAUUAAAGUUAUUCAAAGCAGAUGGGACGAAGUGUCACAAUGGGCUCUUCAACGUCACCAGAAACUGUCACAGCACUUACAGUCGCUCAGAGAUAUGGACGAUACUUUGGAAGAACUUAUCCAAUGGCUCAUGGGUCUUGAGAACACUCUUAUUGCUCUGAAGCGCGAAGAAUUGCCUAUGGACAUUCCAGCCACCGAACAGCUUAUUGCGGACCACAAAGAGUUUAUGGAGAAUACGCAGAAGAGGCAAGCAGAGGUCGAUAGGGUUUGUAAAGCCAAGCAGGUUAAGCCUGCAGCUGGCGUUAAAGAUCCUAAGAAGUUCGUCAAAGGCAAAGGACAAAUUCGUGGUUCUCAGCUUGACAUUCAUGAUUCCACGCAAGACAUCUACGGCGCACUUGGUCGCAAGCAAAGCUUCAAAGGCUCGAGGAAUGACCUACAAAGAGGAAGUCGCGUCAGCCUGUCUGGACGGGAUCUUCUUAGCCCGGAUCCGAACUUACCACACAUCGGUCCAAGGUUUCCACCUGCAGGAAGCGAACCAGAAUUCCGGUCACCAAGAGUCAAAUUCUUAUACGACAAAUGGCGUCACGUAUGGAUGCUAUCAUGGGAAAGACAAAGAGAAUUGUACGAUCAUCUGGCUUAUCUGAAGGAAAAGGAAAAGGCCGACAACUUCUCUUGGGACGAUUGGAGAAAACGCUUCUUGAAAUUCAUGAAUUACAAGAAGUCCAGGUUGACAGAUCUCUUUAGGAAGAUGGAUAAGGAUAACAACGAACUGAUUCCCAGAGAUGACUUCAUUGAAGGAAUCAUCAAGACCAAAUUCGACACCUCCCGCCUUGAGAUGAAACACGUAGCAGACAUGUUCGACGAGAACAACCGAGGACUGAUCGACUGGAAGAAGUUCAUAGCAGCUCUCAGACCCGAUUGGGAGGAAAAGGCGCCUGACAACGACGCCCAAAAGAUCCAUGACGAAGUCAAGCGAUUGGUUAUGUUAUGUACUUGCCGACAGAAAUUCAGAGUUUUCCAAGUAGGAGAGGGAAAAUACAGGUUUGGAGAAAGUCAGAAACUACGUCUAGUCCGUAUCCUCCGAAGUACUGUGAUGGUACGUGUAGGAGGUGGUUGGGUAGCUCUAGACGAGUUCCUACUGAAGAAUGAUCCUUGCAGAGCCAAAGGACGCACAAAUAUAGAGCUGCGCGAGCAAUUCAUCUUAGCUGACGGGGUUUCGCAAACUAUGACGGCGUUCAAGCCCAAAACGUCGGCGUCUAGUCCCACGUCUGGUUCUUCGGCAUCACGCACACCUCAGGGCCCCAUUACGAAGGUCAGAGAACGUUCCCAGCGAUCAGUGCCCAUGGGCAGCCUACCAAGAACAUCGAAAUCGUCUCUCUCAGCUGGAACCCCAGACUCUCUCUCAGAUAACGAAAGUUCUACAUUCCGUACUCCCAGGAAGCCGUCCUACAGGUCAACGUUAACUCCAGGCGGUUCAAGAAGUAAUUCUAGGCCCCAAUCCAGGACUGGAAGCAGGCCGGGCAGCAAGCCGCCGUCUAGGCACGGAUCGAACCUUUCUUUGGAUAGCACAGAUGAUGCUACUCCAUCGAGAAUACCAAGAAGGACACCAACAUCAGGAAGAAGCUCAGCUCUUUCGACGACUAAAAGCAUCAACGGUUCUGGCUCUAGGCCACGCACACCAAGCGGUUUGAUAUCUCCAGCUAGUCCCGUUGGAAGACGAAAAAGCCCUGAGUCAACUUAUUCUUUCCGGCUGAAAAGUCGUAGUCCACGGAAAGAUUCAAACUAGAGUGCAAGUUCAAGCAAAGUAAAACAAGUGACUAUUGGCGUUGCCCCUUCGCUAAGGACAGCCUCUAGGACCCGGACACCUUCAGGAUCCAACACACCCGUACAUCCGGAUCAACAGACAGCAGUUUCCAAACUACUAAAACGUUCCACGGGUGGCACAGACACUCCCACAAGCCAAACUAGAAAGAAAAA